AACUACCUAGUACAUGCCACUUAACCAAAGGAAGAAAUACAUCACCAAAAUCUUUUUGUUGGAGUCGGGUUUGUUUUGGAUGCUAGACCGGAUCCGAAACUCUAAUAACCUGCGCACAGAAACAACCGUACGCUGAGUAUUUCAUACUCAGUGGUAUUACUAUAAAUCAGGACUAUUUAACAUUAAUAAAUUACAAGCAUCAACCAUAAAUUUUAUAAUUAUUUAAACUAAUUUUAUAUAUAAUUAUUUUACUUCAUAAAUCUUAAAUUCAUAAUUCAUUUUUCUCAUACCAACUCAAUUCAUAUUUUAGUUCAUACAUUCUUUCUCAUACUUUUCAAUAGUGCCAAAACAAAUAAUCUUAGUUUCAAAAUUUCAUUUCAAUUAUUUACCCUAUUAACAAGGCUCAGACUCUGACAGAUACGCGAAUUCCACCCAAACACACCAGAAUGUCCAACCCAAACACACCUAGAAUAUUAUAAAUCAUCCAUAACACACCAGUAAGGCAUUAAGUGCCUCUUCGGAUAAACCGAAGUAUAUAAUAACAGAAACAUCUUCUCGGCCGAACUACAAUCUCCUCAUCACAUCACAAAUCCAAUGGCAUGCCAUUUGUAUCAAAUCUAGUCCGACAAGUUAAUAGGGUAUUAUUUUACUUUUUCUAAUUUCAAUUUCAUUUACACAAAAAAUUUCAAUACUCAAUCAAUUCAAAUAUCUAUUAUCUUAAUUCAUAUACAAAUUAAUUUUCACACAUACUUAUAUUUAAAUUUAAAUAUAAUACUUGCCUUAUCUUAAUUAUUCCAUAACUAUAAAUUCAAUAUACAUUUAAUAAAUAGUUUGAGUUAUAGUAAUACAAACCCGAAACACGAGUUUACUCCUCAACGAUCUUUUCUUUUCCUUUGGAUGCCGAUGCCUCGUUUUCCUUGUUAGCAAACAAGUUUGAAGCUUCAAAAUCCCAAUUUUCCCCUUUUCUUUUCUUUCCCUUUUCUUCCCCUGUUUUUCAAAUGCUC
This 1004-nucleotide long non-coding RNA is filed under the name Gossypium barbadense (sea-island cotton). Its description in RNAcentral is "long non-coding RNA (GBAR_LNC003859)". Lineage: Eukaryota; Viridiplantae; Streptophyta; Magnoliopsida; Malvales; Malvaceae. The record is from RNAcentral.